GCCUGGGUGGCUUAGUCGGUUGAGCGUCAGAUUUUGGCUCAGGUCAUGAUCUCACACUCCGUGAGUUCGAGCCCCACUUUGGGCU
RNAcentral lists this transfer RNA (85 nucleotides) under Felis catus (domestic cat). It matches the Rfam family "tRNA". From Rfam's summary of the family: Transfer RNA (tRNA) molecules are approximately 80 nucleotides in length. Their secondary structure includes four short double-helical elements and three loops (D, anti-codon, and T loops). The record is from Rfam by way of RNAcentral. Lineage: Eukaryota; Metazoa; Chordata; Mammalia; Carnivora; Felidae.